UGGUUUGCAUGGUGGUGACUUUGGGAGUCAUAGUGUGGCUGUGGGUACCCUCAUUAGAAAGGGAAUCUUUGAAAGGUCUGUAUGCACAGAGAUGUUCUGCACAGUGGCUGGGCCCAGACCACGCAUUCACUGAGAAGCAGAACCUGGUCCUCUUAUUACCUGCGCUGAGAGUUAAUGAAGGUUAAAACACUCUUGGAGGCAUCUGAGCAGGCAUUAACCAGGAGAGCUGAAACAUUUGAAGCUGGUCAGAACCUUAUUGGAGAUGAUGAAGGAAGAUGACACCAAAGUUGCUGUAUUACACAAAGUAGUUGGAGAUUCUUAGAAGCAAUGUUGCCACUGUACUUAAUCUAUUUCUUUGAGCCUGGGAGAAAAUGCCAGCAUAGCCAAGACCUCUGCUGUAGUCUUGGGACUGCUUUGCUGAUGGAGGUAGAUGGGUCUUUGUUGAAACAUGACACAACAAUGUGACUGUUGCCCCUUCCACAGAUGAGAAGAGGCUCUUCCAGCUGCCCUGGCACUGGAAGACCUGCCAUGUAGCCAUGAGUGGCUAAGCUGUGACUGGUUUAAUUGGGAAGUAGGGACUGAAUGUGAAUAAGGAUGGUCUG
Long non-coding RNA from Poecile atricapillus (Black-capped chickadee), 602 nucleotides. RefSeq lists it as uncharacterized. The record is from RefSeq and is a predicted model, not a curated record. NCBI's taxonomy places the organism in Eukaryota, Metazoa, Chordata, Aves, Passeriformes, Paridae. The transcript has 3 exons.